UAUUAAAAACAUGGCUUGUUGAUAAUAAUUUCAAGUCUGACCUGCCCAAUGAGUAUUUAAAUGGCCGCAGUAUUUUGACUGUGCAAAGGUAGCAUAAUCAUUAGUUUUUUAAUUGGAAACUGGAAUGAAAGGUUUGAUGAGAAAAUUUCUGUCUCUGGGAAAAUUUAUUAGAAUUUUAUUUUUAAGUAAAAAAGCUUAAAUAUAUAUAGAAGACGAGAAGACCCUAUAGAGUUUUAUAUUUUUAAAAGAUUAAAUUUUUUAGCAAGAAAAUGUUUAAUUUUUUAUAAGUAUUUUGUUGGGGUGAUGGAAAAAUUUGAUUAACUUUUUUUGUUUUGUUUUACAUUGAUAUGUGAGUAUUUGAUCCUAGAAUUUAGAUUAUAAGAUUAAAUUACCUUAGGGAUAACAGCGUAAUUUUUUUAAGAGUUCUUAUCGGAAAAAAAGAUUGCGACCUCGAUGUUGGAUUAAAAUUAAUUUCUGGUGAAGAAGCUAGAUAAUUAGGUCUGUUCGACCUUUAAAAUUUUACAUGAUCUGAGUUUAAACCGGCGUGAGCCAGGUCGGUU
This 560-nucleotide ribosomal RNA is filed under the name Trigonopterus sp. 241 AR-2020. RNAcentral's name for it is "partial large subunit ribosomal RNA". It matches the Rfam family "Bacterial large subunit ribosomal RNA", at positions 1805 to 2636 of the family's 2925-position model. Lineage: Eukaryota; Metazoa; Arthropoda; Insecta; Coleoptera; Curculionidae. The record is from RNAcentral.